Molecule: ribosomal RNA, 468 nt
Filed under: uncultured bacterium
Lineage: Bacteria
Description: partial 16S ribosomal RNA
Rfam family: Bacterial small subunit ribosomal RNA
Source: RNAcentral
GAUGAACGCUGGCGGCGUGCCUAGCACAUGCAAGUCGAGCGAUUCUCUUCGGAGAAGAGCGGCGGAUGGGUGAGUAACGCGUGGGUAACCUGCCCUGUACACACGGAUAACAUACCGAAAGGUAUGCUAAUACGAGAUAAUAUGCUUUUGACGCAUGGUAGAAGUAUCAAAGCUCCGGCGGUACAGGAUGGACCCGCGUCUGAUUAGCUAGUUGGUAAGGUAACGGCUUACCAAGGCGACGAUCAGUAGCCGACCUGAGAGGGUGAGCGGCCACAUUGGAACUGAGACACGGUCCAAACUCCUACGGGAGGCAGCAGUGGGGAAUAUUGCACAAUGGGCGAAAGCCUGAUGCAGCAACGCCGCGUGAGCGAUGAAGGCCUUCGGGUCGUAAAGCUCUGUCCUCAAGGAAGAUAAUGACGGUACUUGAGGAGGAAGCCCCGGCUAACUACGUGCCAGCCGCCGCGGUAA